Long non-coding RNA from Hippopotamus amphibius kiboko, 605 nucleotides. RefSeq lists it as uncharacterized. The record is from RefSeq and is a predicted model, not a curated record. Lineage: Eukaryota; Metazoa; Chordata; Mammalia; Artiodactyla; Hippopotamidae. The transcript has 3 exons.
GGGGGCAGCAGGGCGACUGGAUGCGCGCGGCGGGGCUGGGGCCGUGCGUUCAGACCACGUGGGCGCCAGGGGGCGCGAGAGGGUCUAUGUCCUGUGUGCGACCGCUGCGCGUGGGGGCGUCCCUGGAACGGUCUAUUAACUGAGUGCCAAUUCCGUGCCAGACACUGAAAAUAUGAGUGACUGUCCACCCACCAGAAUGGCUAAAAUGAGAAUGACGGACCUGACCAAGUGCAAGCAAAGAAGCAGAGCAACUGGACCCCUCAUAUUUCUGGAUUUUACUUCAAUUAAAAGUUUACUCAGGGGCUUCCCUGGUGGCGCAGUGGUUAAGAAUCUGCCUGCCAAUGCAGGGGACACAGGUUUGAUCCCUGGGCCGGGAAGAUCCCACAUGCCGCUGAGCUACUAAGCCCGUGCACCACAACUACUGAGCCUUCGCUCUACAGCCCAUGAGCCACGACUAUUGAGUCCACGUGUCACAACUACUGAAGCCCGCGUGCCUAAAGCCCAGUGCUGUGCAACAAGAGAAGCCACUGCAAUGAGAAGCCCACACACCUCAAGGAAGAGUAGCCCCCGCUCUCCGAAACUAGAUAAAGCCCCCGGCGCAGCAA